AGCCUUUAGCUCACCAAGUAUUAAAGGUCCUGCCUGCCCAGUGAAACUUUUAACGGCCGCGGUAUCCUAACCGUGCAAAGGUAGCGUAAUCACUUGUCUUCUAAAUAAAGACUCGUAUGAACGGCUAAAUGAGGACCUAACUGUCUCUUACGACCAAUUAAUGAAACUGAUCUUUCAGUCCAAAAGCUGAAAUAUAAACAUAAGACGAGAAGACCCUGUGGAGCUUUUAACCAAGAUACUAUACCCACCACAUAGACCUACACCAGUAAUAGUACCUCGUUUAAGUUGGGGCAACUAUGGAAAAAGAAAAACUUCCACAUUACCCUAGGGUAAACCCCCCUCCCUCCCAGACCCACCUGUCAAACAUUAAAUACAUGACCCAGUCCCACUGAUCAAUGAACCAAGUUACCCCAGGGAUAACAGCGCAAUCCCCUUUCAGAGUCCCUAUCGCCAAGGGGGCUUACGACCUCGAUGUUGGAUCAGGACACCCAAAUAGUGCAGCAACUAUUAAUGGUUCGUUUGUUCAACGAUUAACAGUCCU
Molecule: ribosomal RNA, 541 nt
Filed under: Coleonyx nemoralis
Lineage: Eukaryota; Metazoa; Chordata; Lepidosauria; Squamata; Eublepharidae
Description: Coleonyx elegans nemoralis partial large subunit ribosomal RNA
Rfam family: Bacterial large subunit ribosomal RNA
Source: RNAcentral